UUGUGAUGAAACCUAAACUGAAAAUAGCUGGAAUUACCGUCAGAUGGUUCAGUGGUGAUGAUCGGUUUUCUGAGC
Carassius auratus (goldfish) is the source of this 75-nucleotide small nucleolar RNA. The record is from Ensembl. NCBI's taxonomy places the organism in Eukaryota, Metazoa, Chordata, Actinopteri, Cypriniformes, Cyprinidae.